RNAcentral lists this ribosomal RNA (440 nucleotides) under Pseudomonas gessardii. RNAcentral describes it as "bacterial SSU rRNA". It matches the Rfam family "Bacterial small subunit ribosomal RNA", at positions 33 to 470 of the family's 1533-position model. Lineage: Bacteria; Pseudomonadati; Pseudomonadota; Gammaproteobacteria; Pseudomonadales; Pseudomonadaceae. The record is from RNAcentral.
UUGACGCUGGCGGCAGGCCUAACACAUGCAAGUCGAGCGGUAGAGAGAAGCUUGCUUCUCUUGAGAGCGGCGGACGGGUGAGUAAUGCCUAGGAAUCUGCCUGGUAGUGGGGGAUAACGUUCGGAAACGGACGCUAAUACCGCAUACGUCCUACGGGAGAAAGCAGGGGACCUUCGGGCCUUGCGCUAUCAGAUGAGCCUAGGUCGGAUUAGCUAGUUGGUGAGGUAAUGGCUCACCAAGGCGACGAUCCGUAACUGGUCUGAGAGGAUGAUCAGUCACACUGGAACUGAGACACGGUCCAGACUCCUACGGGAGGCAGCAGUGGGGAAUAUUGGACAAUGGGCGAAAGCCUGAUCCAGCCAUGCCGCGUGUGUGAAGAAGGUCUUCGGAUUGUAAAGCACUUUAAAGUUUGGGAGGAAGGGUUGUAAAAUUAAUACUUC